AUACGUAGGGGGCAAGCGUUAUCCGGAUUUACUGGGUGUAAAGGGAGCGUAGACGGAAGGCCAAGUCUGAUGUGAAAGCCCGCGGCUCAACUGCGGGACUGCAUUGGAAACUGGUCAUCUGGAGUGCAGGAGGGGUAAGCGGAAUUCCUAGUGUAGCGGUGAAAUGCGUAGAUAUUAGGAGGGACACCAGAGGCGAAGGCGGCUUACUGGACUGUAACUGACGUUGAGGCUCGAAGGCGUGGGGAGCAAACAGGAUUAGAUACCCUGGUAGUCCACGCGGUAAACGAUGAUCACUAGGUGUCGGCGGCCAUAGGCGGUCGGUGCCGCAGCAAACGCAAUAAGUGAUCCACCUGGGGAGUACGUUCGCAAGAAUGAAACUCAAAUGAAUUGGCGGGG
This 396-nucleotide ribosomal RNA is filed under the name uncultured bacterium. Its description in RNAcentral is "partial 16S ribosomal RNA". It matches the Rfam family "Bacterial small subunit ribosomal RNA", at positions 523 to 918 of the family's 1533-position model. The record is from RNAcentral.